UAACACUCCGAAAAGGAGUGCUAAUACCGGAUGUAGUUGCGGUACUGCAUGGUACUGCAAAAAAAGGAGAAAUCCACUUUGGGAUGGGCCCGCGUCUGAUUAGCUAGUUGGUGGGGUAACGGCCUACCAAGGCGACGAUCAGUAGCCGACCUGAGAGGGUGAUCGGCCACACUGGGACUGAGACACGGCCCAGACUCCUACGGGAGGCAGCAGUCGGGAAUAUUGGUCAAUGGGGGAAACCCUGAACCAGCAAUGCCGCGUGAGUGAUGAAGGUUUUCGGAUCGUAAAGCUCUGUCUUUGGGGACGAAUAAAUGACGGUACCCGAGGAGGAAGCCCCGGCUAACUACGUGCCAGCAGCCGCGGUAAUACGUAGGGGGCGAGCGUUGUCCGGAAUUACUGGGCGUAAAGGGCGAGUAGGCGGUUUAAUAAGUCAGAUGUGAAAUGCCAGGGCUCAACCCUGGAACUGCAUUUGAAACUAUUAGACUUGAGUGCAGGAGAGGAAAGUGGAAUUCCCAGUGUAGCGGUGAAAUGCGUAGAUAUUGGGAGGAACACCAGUGGCGAAGGCGACUUUCUGGACUGUAACUGACGCUGAGGCGCGAAAGCGUGGGGAGCAAACAGGAUUAGAUACCCU
This 631-nucleotide ribosomal RNA is filed under the name uncultured bacterium. Its description in RNAcentral is "bacterial SSU rRNA". It matches the Rfam family "Bacterial small subunit ribosomal RNA", at positions 144 to 788 of the family's 1533-position model. The record is from RNAcentral.